Molecule: unclassified non-coding RNA, 290 nt
Filed under: uncultured fungus
Lineage: Eukaryota; Fungi
Description: partial contains 5.8S ribosomal RNA, internal transcribed spacer 2, and large subunit ribosomal RNA
Rfam family: 5.8S ribosomal RNA (bases 1-52)
Source: RNAcentral
AACGCACCUUGCGCUCCUUGGUAUUCCACGGAGCAUGCCUGUUUGAGUGUCACGUAAACCCUCACACCUGCGAUGUCAAAGUCGUGGGAGGUGGACUUGGACCGUGCCGUAGUCGGCUCGUCCUUUGAAAUGCAUUAGCUUGCGCUGGUUAGAGUGCUCGGCAUGGUGUGAUAAUUAUCUGCGCCGUCGCCUUAGGCCUCUUCUGUGUGCGCUGCUUCCAACGGUCCCUCGAGGACAACAUAUUUUAAAGCUUUGGCCUCAAAUCAGGUAGGACUACCCGCUGAACUUAA